CUAGUCCAUGAAUUAGAGUUGUGCUUGUAGGGGAAAGAAGAGAAGAGAGCUUGUAUGUCUACCUUAAUGUUUGGGUUUUGCUCUAGUAAUUGUUUGCCUUGAUUCGGUCCCAAGGAGAGCAUUUCAAAGAAUUUGUGGAAAACUUGAAAGAUAAGUUUAUUCUGGAGCAAAGAAAAAUUUCCAACCUAUGUAUGGAUUGAAAAAGAGAAUCAGAGCAGGGCUGACUGUGUCCGGAAUCUGGAGUUCACAGACUGCUGGUGUUGAAGACCAAGAUCAAACUCAGCAAGCAACAAUCCAUGAAUGGGCAGAAGUCAGAGACCAAGGUCAGGUCUACAGGUGAGGGUCCACAAUUGGGCAAUGCUCCAAGGCCACAGAACUGUGUGCUUUCCGGUACCCUGGAAACAUUCACAUACUGACUCCUGUACUUGGGCCACACUAUUGCUUCCUGAUGAUCAAACAUUAGGUGGUUAACAUCAGUAUGGGACACAGCUAUCAAAAUUUGGGCCACAUCAGUUCCUGUAAUUG
Molecule: long non-coding RNA, 525 nt
Organism: Ochotona princeps (American pika)
Lineage: Eukaryota; Metazoa; Chordata; Mammalia; Lagomorpha; Ochotonidae
Exons: 3
Source: RefSeq, a predicted model, not a curated record